RNAcentral lists this transfer RNA (71 nucleotides) under Marmota monax (woodchuck). Its description in RNAcentral is "tRNA.Gly". The stretch from base 6 to 66 matches the Rfam family "tRNA", at positions 6 to 65 of the family's 71-position model. From Rfam's summary of the family: Transfer RNA (tRNA) molecules are approximately 80 nucleotides in length. Their secondary structure includes four short double-helical elements and three loops (D, anti-codon, and T loops). Further hydrogen bonds mediate the characteristic L-shaped molecular structure. tRNAs have two regions of fundamental functional importance: the anti-codon, which is responsible for specific mRNA codon recognition, and the 3' end, to which the tRNAs corresponding amino acid is attached (by aminoacyl-tRNA synthetases). tRNAs cope with the degeneracy of the genetic code in two manners: having more than one tRNA (with a specific anti-codon) for a particular amino acid; and 'wobble' base-pairing, i.e. permitting non-standard base-pairing at the 3rd anti-codon position. Lineage: Eukaryota; Metazoa; Chordata; Mammalia; Rodentia; Sciuridae. The record is from RNAcentral.
GGGGUUGUGGCUCAAGGGUAGAGCGCUCACCUACCAUGUGUGAGGCACUGGGUUUGAUCCUCAGCACUACA